This 1423-nucleotide ribosomal RNA is filed under the name uncultured bacterium. RNAcentral describes it as "bacterial SSU rRNA". It matches the Rfam family "Bacterial small subunit ribosomal RNA". The record is from RNAcentral.
AGAGUUUGAUCCUGGCUCAGAACGAACGCUGGCGGCAGGCCUAACACAUGCAAGUCGAGCGCGCCUUCGGGUGAGCGGCGGACGGGUUAGUAACGCGUGGGAACGUGCCCUUCUCUACGGAAUAGCCAUUGGAAACGAUGAGUAAUACUGUAUACGCCCUUCGGGGGAAAGAUUUAUCGGAGAAGGAUCGGCCCGCGUUAGAUUAGAUAGUUGGUGGGGUAGUGGCCUACCAAGUCUACGAUCUAUAGCUGGUUUUAGAGGAUGAUCAGCAACACUGGGACUGAGACACGGCCCAGACUCCUACGGGAGGCAGCAGUGGGGAAUCUUAGACAAUGGGCGCAAGCCUGAUCUAGCCAUGCCGCGUGUGUGAUGAAGGCCUUAGGGUCGUAAAGCACUUUCGCCAGGGAUGAUAAUGAUAGUACCUGGUAAAGAAACCCCGGCUAACUCCGUGCCAGCAGCCGCGGUAAUACGGAGGGGGUUAGCGUUGUUCGGAAUUACUGGGCGUAAAGCGCGCGUAGGCGGACUAUUAAGUCAGGGGUGAAAUCCCGGGGCUCAACCCCGGAACUGCCUUUGAUACUGGUAGUCUUGAGUUCGAGAGAGGUGAGUGGAAUUCCGAGUGUAGAGGUGAAAUUCGUAGAUAUUCGGAGGAACACCAGAGGCGAAGGCGGCUCACUGGCUCGAUACUGACGCUGAGGUGCGAAAGUGUGGGGAGCAAACAGGAUUAGAUACCCUGGUAGUCCACACCGUAAACGAUGAAUGCCAGUCGUCGGGCAGUAUACUGUUCGGUGACACACCUAACGGAUUAAGCAUUCCGCCUGGGGGAGUACGGUCGCAAGAUUAAAACUCAAAGGAAUUGACGGGGGCCCCGCACAAGCGGUGGAGCAUGUGGUUUAAUUCGAAGCAACGCGCAGAACCUUACCAACCCUUGACAUCCUGUGCCACUCCGAGAGAUCGGACGUUCCCCUCGGGGACGCAGUGACAGGUGCUGCAUGGCUGUCGUCCGCUCGUGUCGUGAGAUGUUCGGUUAAGUCCGGCAACGAGCGCAACCCACAUCUUUAGUUGCCAGCAGUUCGGCUGGGCACUCUAAAGAAACUGCCCGUGAUAAGCGGGAGGAAGGUGUGGAUGACGUCAAGUCCUCAUGGCCCUUACGGGUUGGGCUACACACGUGCUACAAUGGUAGUGACAAUGGGUUAAUCCCAAAAAGCUAUCUCAGUUCGGAUUGGGGUCUGCAACUCGACCCCAUGAAGUCGGAAUCGCUAGUAAUCGCGUAACAGCAUGACGCGGUGAAUACGUUCCCGGGCCUUGUACACACCGCCCGUCACACCAUGGGAGUUGGUUCUACCCGACGGCCGUGCGCUAACCUUUUGGAGGCAGCGGACCACGGUAGGAUCAGCGACUGGGGUGAAGUCGUAACAAGGUAGCC